AUGAGCUUGAUUUGAGCAAAGAAAGAGCAUAGCUUUUUGUACUUUUAAUGGCGGUUUCAUCCUUGCGCUGCAUUCAAUCUCUUGGGUUUUCAUCAAGAGGACGUGCCUUCUUCCCUGUUGGUGAUUGCAGCCGAGCCAAUGCCUGGAAGAGCAUGAACUGUCGUUUGGUUUUUGCUUCUGCGAAGAAUUCUGAUAGAGAUCUGUGUGUCGAAUCCAAGGUUGAGACAUUGUUAGACAG
RNAcentral lists this unclassified non-coding RNA (238 nucleotides) under Hevea brasiliensis (rubber tree). Lineage: Eukaryota; Viridiplantae; Streptophyta; Magnoliopsida; Malpighiales; Euphorbiaceae. The record is from RNAcentral.